GAAUCUUAGACAAUGGGCGCAAGCCUGAUCUAGCCAUGCCGCGUGAGUGAAGAAGGCCUUAGGGUCGUAAAGCUCUUUCGCCAGGGAUGAUAAUGACAGUACCUGGUAAAGAAACCCCGGCUAACUACGUGCCAGCAGCCGCGGUAAUACGUAGGCAGCAAGCGUUGUUCGGAAUUACUGGGCGUAAAGCGAGUGUAGGCGGUUUGCCGUGUCUGCCGUGAAAUCUCCCGGCUCAACUGGGAGGGUGCGGCGGAAACUGGCAGGCUAGAGUGCGGAAGAGGAAAGUGGAAUUCCUGGUGUAGCGGUGAAAUGCGUAGAUAUCAGGAGGAACACCGGUGGUGAAGACGGCUUUCUGGACCGCAACUGACGCUGAGACUCGAAAGCGUGGGGAGCAAACAGG
This 400-nucleotide ribosomal RNA is filed under the name uncultured bacterium. RNAcentral's name for it is "bacterial SSU rRNA". It matches the Rfam family "Bacterial small subunit ribosomal RNA", at positions 359 to 776 of the family's 1533-position model. The record is from RNAcentral.